AGUGGCAGACGGGUGAGUAACGCGUGGGAACGUACCCUUUGGUUCGGAACAACUCCGGGAAACUGGAGCUAAUACCGGAUGUGCCCUUCGGGGGAAAGAUUUAUCGCCAAGGGAUCGGCCCGCGUCGGAUUAGCUUGUUGGUGGGGUAACGGCCUACCAAGGCUAUGAUCCGUAGCUGGUCUGAGAGGAUGAUCAGCCACACUGGGACUGAGACACGGCCCAGACUCCUACGGGAGGCAGCAGUGGGGAAUAUUGGACAAUGGGCGCAAGCCUGAUCCAGCCAUGCCGCGUGAGUGAUGAAGGCCUUAGGGUUGUAAAGCUCUUUCGCCAGGGACGAUAAUGACGGUACCUGGAUAAGAAGCCCCGGCUAACUUCGUGCCAGCAGCCGCGGUAAUACGAAGGGGGCUAGCGUUGUUCGGAAUUACUGGGCGUAAAGCGCAUGCAGGCGG
RNAcentral lists this ribosomal RNA (449 nucleotides) under uncultured Hyphomicrobiales bacterium. RNAcentral's name for it is "bacterial SSU rRNA". It matches the Rfam family "Bacterial small subunit ribosomal RNA", at positions 94 to 578 of the family's 1533-position model. Lineage: Bacteria; Pseudomonadati; Pseudomonadota; Alphaproteobacteria; Hyphomicrobiales. The record is from RNAcentral.